RNAcentral lists this ribosomal RNA (372 nucleotides) under uncultured bacterium. RNAcentral describes it as "bacterial SSU rRNA". It matches the Rfam family "Bacterial small subunit ribosomal RNA", at positions 527 to 898 of the family's 1533-position model. The record is from RNAcentral.
GAACCGUGCGAACGUUGUUCGGAAUCACUGGGCUUAAAGGGAGCGUAGGCGGGCUAUCAAGUCUGGGGUGAAAUGCCGCGGCUCAACCGUGGAACUGCCUUAGAUACUGACGGCCUCGAGGGAGAUAGGGGCAUGCGGAACUGUAGGUGGAGCGGUGAAAUGCGUUGAUAUCUACAGGAACUCCGGUGGCGAAAGCGGCGUGCUGGAUCUCUUCUGACGCUGAGGCUCGAAAGCUAGGGGAGCAAACGGGAUUAGAUACCCCGGUAGUCCUAGCCCUAAACGAUGGGUACUAGGUAGUAGACUAGAUAUGGGUUUACUGCCGAAGCUAAAGUGCUAAGUACCCCGCCUGGGGAGUAUGGUCGCAAGGCUGAA